This 460-nucleotide ribosomal RNA is filed under the name uncultured bacterium. Its description in RNAcentral is "partial 16S ribosomal RNA". It matches the Rfam family "Bacterial small subunit ribosomal RNA", at positions 338 to 795 of the family's 1533-position model. The record is from RNAcentral.
ACUACGGGUGGCAGCAGUGAGGAAUAUUGGUCAAUGGACGCAAGUCUGAACCAGCCAUGCCGCGUGCAGGAAGACGGCUCUAUGAGUUGUAAACUGCUUUUGUACGAGGGUAAACGCAGAUACGCGUAUCUGUCUGAAAGUAUCCUACGAAUAAGGAUCGGCUAACUCCGUGCCAGCAGCCGCGGUAAUACGGAGGAUUCCAGCGUUAUCCGGAUUUAGUGGGUUUAAAGGGUGCGUAGGCGGUCGUAUAAGUUAGAGGUGAAAUCCCGAGGCUCAACUUCGGAAUUGCCGCUGAUACUGGUCGGCUAGAGAGUAGUUACGGUAGGCGGAAUGUAUGGUGUAGCGGUGAAAUGCUUAGAGAGCAUACAGAACACCGAUUGCGAAGGCAGCUUACCAAGCUACUACUGACGUUGAGGCACGAAAGCGUGGGGAGCAAACAGGAUUAGAUACCCGGGUAGUC